This 857-nucleotide long non-coding RNA is filed under the name Homo sapiens (human). RNAcentral describes it as "non-protein coding lnc-CRTC1-1:1". The record is from RNAcentral. Lineage: Eukaryota; Metazoa; Chordata; Mammalia; Primates; Hominidae.
AUUUCUGCUUCCCUUCCUUUCACUGGCUCUCUGUUCCUCUCUCCCUGUAUUUCUCUCCUUGUCUCUCUGGGUCUCUGUCUCCCUGUCUCUGGGUCUCUGUCUUCCUCUCUCCCUGGGUGUCUCUUUCUCUCCCUCUUGCUGGGUCUCUCUUUCCCUCUCCCUCUGGAUCUUUCUCUCCAUCUCCCUCUCUCUGGGUCUCUGUCUCCCUGUCUCCCUGUCUCUAGGUAUCUGUCUUCCUCUCUCUCUGGGUUUUUUUCUCCUCUUGCUGGGCCUCCGUCUCUCCCUCUCCCUUUCUCUGGGUCUCUGUCUCCCUCUCUCCCUGGGUCUCUGUCUCCCUCUCUCUGGGUCUCUGUCCCCUCUCUCUGGGUCUCUGUCUGUCCCCCUGUCCCCCUCUCUCUGGGUGCCUGUCUCCUUCUCUCUGGGUCUCUGUCUCCUUCUCUCUGGGUCUCUGUCUACCUUUCUCUGCGUCCCUGUUCCCCUCUGGGUCUCUGUACCCUCUAAGUCUCUGUCCCUUUAUCUCUGAAUCUGUUUUUCUCUCUCUGGGUAUCUGUCCACUUCUCUCUGGGUCCUGUUUUUCUUUCUGUGGGUCCCGGUUCUUCUCUGGGUCUCUGUCCCCUCCAAGUCUCUGUCACUCCCUCUCCGAGUCUCUGUUUCCCUCUCUUGCUGGAUCUCAGACAAGGCUCUCAGGAUGGUCUUGGUCCAGUUGCCAGCCUGGGACUGGCUGGGAGAGAGGCUAGGGAUUGGGCAGUGGCUUCUCAGCCGGCCCUGACAUCCCCUGCUGUCCCCUGAAGUACAGCCUCUUCCCCACCCAUGCACUGAGACCCUGGGGCGGCAUCGCAUCAGCCGGGGUGGGAGCC